CAGUGCAUUGCCUUUACCUCUUUUAUCACCAAAAAGAAAAAAAAAAAAAAGAGGGAGAAAGUUGGGUUUUUUUCUAUAUUAAUACAUUAGUAGAAUCUUUUCAAAACGAUUCUCCUCUUGACACAAGGGAAGGAGAACAGGUUACGUGAACCCCUCUGCUGUAGCCUGCUGAACACUGGAGCAUGACACUGGCUUUGUGUGACUCAGGUACUGCCUUGAAAAAUCCUGUGACAGCUCUGCAGGACACUUUAAGGACAUUUGCUGAGGAGUUUCCCUUAAGAGUCACCUUCUGGGCAAUAUCCCAUCCAAUACCUGCUAAAAAAAUCAAGCAAAACAAUGCAAACAGCUUUGCCGGUGUGUGGGGGAGAUAUGACAAAACCACCAAUAGGAAGGACUGCAACAGGCUAUCUUUUCUAAAAGCCUCCAUUAGGCUUCCAGCUUCUCAGGGGAAAAAAAAAAG
Passer domesticus (house sparrow) is the source of this 460-nucleotide long non-coding RNA. RefSeq lists it as uncharacterized. The record is from RefSeq and is a predicted model, not a curated record. The transcript has 3 exons. NCBI's taxonomy places the organism in Eukaryota, Metazoa, Chordata, Aves, Passeriformes, Passeridae.